GCUCGCUCAGUUGCACUCCUCUUUCCUUGCAAAUUAAUGUGGAUUUGAAAAACGUCUCACAAUAUUGGUGGCAAAAUCUUACUUCUCUCGAGAAUCUUGAGUUUAUGGAUUUUUCAAGUCAACAAUUUCAAGCAAUUGAAAUCUGGUUGUUUAAGGAAGACUUCAAUUAUCUUCCUUCAUUGCGAAAUAUUGAAUUUCACUAUUGUUACCAUAUAAAGGCAUUGCCAGAUUGGAUAUGCAAAAUCUCAUCACUUCAGCAUAUCACGAUAGAGGAUUGUAAUGAAUUGACAUUGCUACCUGAAGGAAUGACACGUCUUACCAACUUACAUACCUUGGAAAUCAUUAGAUGUCGACUCUUAAUUGAAGAAUGUCAGAAAGAAACAAGUGCAACUCGGCCUACAAUUGCACACAUCCCAAACAUAAUCAUCAAAAGUGAUUGGAAUUAGAAAGAAGAGUUAUGUGUACAAGCUAGCUAGCUUGCUCAAUAAAAGAAAUGGAUCCAUGGAGGAGAUGCUUGAAGAAUGCUGUUUGAUGGAAACUUAUGUGUACUACUAGUUUUAUUUUGUAGAAUAACUUGUUUAGCUCUAUUGGAAUGAUUUUAAUCGUAAUAGGUUAGGUUUAUUUUUGUAUGUGUUUUGUUGAUUUGAUUGUUUAUGUUUGAAAUCAUGUCUUAUCUCUGUACUCUUUUUCCCUUCACCAAGGUUUUAUCCCACUGGGUUUUACUUGGUAAGGUUUUUAACGAGACAGAGAGUUUCUCUCGCACCUUGGGUUUUGGUCUGGUCCCCCUAAGGUUCAUUUGUAUUCUUCUUAUUUUAUUUUUAUUUAAUAUAUUUCAUUUGAGUGUUUA
Long non-coding RNA from Trifolium pratense (red clover), 847 nucleotides. RefSeq lists it as uncharacterized. The transcript has 2 exons. The record is from RefSeq and is a predicted model, not a curated record. Lineage: Eukaryota; Viridiplantae; Streptophyta; Magnoliopsida; Fabales; Fabaceae.